ACGUCAGCUCUUUGAAUAAGAUGAAAAAGUACAGUCCCCAUUUAGGCAGGAAAGGUUAAUUGGGACUCACAAAUUACACCCUAAACCAUUUUGAUUAAAUAAAAUACAUGCUUCAUGCACAUGUGGUUCUGCCUCUUUAUCUCUUUUUGUGUCUGUUGUUAACUUCUUUAAUCAAUGUUCUGGCCAACACUAAAUCCACAAGUGGAAUCAGCUCAUAUUCAUGUACAUCACUUCCUUUAAUGUAAACUUUUGUAGUUCUAUGCAUCUGAAUCAAUCACAAACCAUAAUCUAAUUUGGAUUGCUGGGGCCUAAAAUCGUCUCCAUAUAUCGAUCCCUGUCGCUCAAAAACUUCGUUGAGUUGUAAUCUUCUGCAGCAUAUAGUUCUUCUGAGUACGUCCUAUGAAGUUUCGAUUUCUGCCUCUCUUUCAAAAUUCUCAAACUCUCUUCUUCACCUCUUAGUAUCUGUACGACCUGUAUUGGUUCAAGAAAAAUAUAUUAGUAAGAUCCUCAACAAUGCAUCAAUUUUGCUUCUAUGAUUCUUUUUUCGUGUUAGUAAGGUGUUUACUGGCGUCAACUCACUAACUGUAUGCUUGGAAACAUGGUAGCUCACCUUGAAAAGAGUAUUGGGCGUGAGGGGUGUGGGAAAAAUCCUUCACUUUGGAUAGAUAAGACUCUUGAGAGGAGUUUAUAAAGAGGAGACAAUCCUCACCUUACAAGCCAAGCCGGUUUUAUAAGGUGAGGAUUGCCUCCUCUUUAUAAACUCUUCUCAAGAGUCUUAUCUAUCCGAUGUGGGACUUGGAUUUUUCCCAAUAGAUGUAGCUUUUGUCAUCAUGGAAAAAUGAUUUCCAAGAGACACUAAGUUUUUCUUUCCAGCAAAAUUAUUAGAAUUUAAUUUUGUCAAACUUUUUUUGCUUGCAAACCUCAAUUCGAUUAGAACUGACGUAAAACUAGCCUUUGCAUUCAGAGCCGGCCCAACACUUAUUGAGGCUUAAAGCGAACUCAAAAGAGCGGUCGUGACAAAAAAUAGAGGUAUUUUUAAUCUUCAUAAUACUUUUACCAACUUGGACCUUGGGUAGGCCAUGUUUGUUUUAGAUUGAAAAAUUUACACUAAAUUUUACAUCAAAUGAGUAAUAUCCAAAGGUAAAUCAUUUCACUUCAAACUCAAUUGUAAUGAAAUCAAUUUAUAAAAAUCUAUUCCAUUUAAAAUACUUGGAUAAGCAAAUAGAUAUGGUAAAAAUUAGUUUUAGUUAGGAAGAUACUUGGAUAAGCAAAUAUGCAAUAUGAAACUCAUAUAUAGAAAGUACAUGCCUGACUCAUAUGCGGUCGCUGUAUUGAGGACUGAUCUAUACACAUAGAAGCAGCUAAUAUUACAAGUUUCAUCUGUUCUGCAUCAUAAGCAUCAUCCAAAACUGGAUCAACUAGCUCUUUGAUGUUAUUACUAGUUAGCAAAGGUUUUGCCUGCCACAUUUAUUUUUCAUAAGAGUGUAUAAGAAUUGACCUUUUCAACAUCAAGAUGAUCAAUAAACAGAAUGCAAUAGCAGACACUUACCCACAUCACCAGACUUUUUUGUGAACUAUCCAAAGCUUGUCUCCCAGUAAUGAGCUCCAAUAAUAGUACACCAUAAGCAUAUACAUCAGUUUUUUCAUCUACUAUACCAUGCAUGAAGAAUUCAGGAGGAAGAUAGCUGUUUUGACAUUCACCAGAAGAAAAAUUUGUUAUAAGUUAAAUACUAGGUGAAAAGAGUACUGAAAAUGUGAAGAACUUGUGAAGCUGCUAAAAGAUACAAACCCAAAUGUGCCUUCCACUUUGGAGACAGUAUGGUGAGUCCAUUGAUCAGGUAACCACUUUGCAAGCCCAAAAUCAGAUAUCUGGUUUAAGAUUGGAGUUAAAAUUGUUACAAGAAACUUAGAUGAAACAAAAGUGCAUCUUUGGAUUGACAAUGAGUUUGACAGAAUCAGGUGUCCUUCGUGAUUUUGGCGAAAGUUACAUUUUGAAACUUCAACAAAAUCAUGUUAAUGUGAUUUUGGUAAACGCACAAAUUGUUGUUGAUUUAGAAUAUAAGAAUUAUAAUAUUUGCUGAAAAAUGCAUGUUUCAUAAAGAAUCAGAUUUGUGAGUCAUAAGAAGGACCUGAGGCUCAAAGUCCUCUGAGAGAAGUAUAUUAGAAGCUUUGAUAUCUUUGUGAAUAAUCCUUCUUUGACAUCCCUCAUGCAGAUAGUGAAGACCCUCAGCAGUCCCCAAAGUAAUCCUAUAUCUAAGGCUCCAAUUCAGUUUCUCUCUAGGUCCUGAAAUCCAUAAAAGGAAAGAAAUCAACCUUAAUUAAGUGAUUAUCAUAUAAGAUUGUGUAAGUUUUUUCUAUAACAAAAGAUAAAAUAAAGUCAAAUUAUUUUCUUACUAGUUAUAAGUUGUUUUCAUAAGCUAUCUUGAAGAGUUUAUAGAAAUAAGAUGAAAACAAUUUAAUCAUGAACAUGUCAUGAGAAGUUUCUAUAAGCUCUCUCAAACAAUCUCGUAGGUGAUUAUAUCAGUAGAUAAGUUCAAAUAAGUUAAUUCAAAAAGACUCUUGGAUUUGCAAAGAAAUAGAAAUUUUGAAACAUACCGUAGAGUAAGGAUGACAAGCUUCCAUGAGGAGACAAUUGAAGAACAAGAAACAUUCCACCUUCAACACCAUAUCCAAUCAAUCUAGCAAUAUUGGGGUGAUCCACAUGCACUAUAAUGCCAAGCUCAGACAAAAAGUCUGCAGUCAUUUCUUCUUGGCAACCUCUUGUCAACCUUUUAAUGGCAACAAAGUUUCCAUCUUCCAGUUUUCCUAAGUAAACCUCGGCAUAGCCUCCCUCCCCAAUCAAAUUAUCUUCAAAAAUAAAUACAUAAAACCUUAUAAGUCUAACAAGCUAUGACAAAACACAGACACGGCACCGGCACAGGUCCAACUACUUUGACUACAAGAUUAUUUCAUUUAGGGUAAGAGUUGUGAGUUUGAUCAGUCGUUUUGAAAUCUUUGAAACGGCACCGGCACAGGUGAACACAUAAGUGAUUGAAUAUAAUCAAACUUAUCGGUGCCUGACACUAACACGUGUCAGGCAAUGAGCACAUAUUCAAUCUAAAGUGUCGAUGUGACAUACCUUGGCUAAAGUCAUUGGUUGCAGCUUGGAUUUCUGCGAGAGUGAAAUUUUUCCAUGAAGAUUUGAAGCACAUAAACUCAGAAUCAAAAGAAGACUGAAGAGCUGGAGAAUUGAGAGAUGGAAUGAAUUCCUCCCUAAUUCUUUUGCUCUUUCGUCUAGUAAGUUUUGGAACAUUUUUCAGUGGAUGAAAGGUAUGAAAUGGCAUUUGUGGUCCCUUUUUGAUUAAUUUAAAGAAACCUCGCCAUUGUCUUGUACCUCCCUCGGAAUCAGAAGUGCUUGCCCUUGAACUUGGUGUAUCAGAUUCUUGACUUCUAGGUGAAUACUCGGAUUGGUCUCCGUUCUCAGUCUCUAAAACUGACAAGUCUAAUAACAUAUAUGGUACAUUCAUUCAAACAUUAGUACAGCAAAUAAAUAAUUGAACUGUUUUCUUAUUGAAUUAGUGACGGAAAAUUUGAGACGGAAAAAAUGAAAUCCGUCUCUAAUUUGGUCGGUAAUUCAACCUUCUUUUAGUAGAGAUGGAAUUAAAGAGUAAAGAUAAAAGGAUUGAAAUUAAUUAUUACCAAUAUUAGAAAAAGAAUCAGAAAAUCCAGGUCGUGGUCGUCUGCCUCUGCUGUCUCUUAAUAAAUUGAUACUCUCCUUUUUUUCUAAUUUUUUUCUGUCUGGCUUGUGAACGUCAUUUCUGCCAAUAUAUCAAUCUCCUUUGUCAGCACACACUAAAUAAUUAAUGUGACACAAUGUACAUUGUCAAAAUUUCCAAUAAAAUAACCCAGCAUAAUAAUAGUAAUAACAUAGGAACAAGAUAGGCCAAAAGUUUGGUAUUACGGUGGGGUUGUUGAAAUCACGUUGAGACACCAUGAUUUUGCAAACGCUAAACCCGGAAAACCUACGUGAUAUCAAACAUAUAAAACAUCAUUUAUGUUGGAAUACAUUCAUCUAAAUAUAAAAGUGAGUAAACAAUAAAUUCAAGAUUGAAAAUCAAUUGUAGAGUCAAAAACACUAAAUUCUAGCUCUAAAUUCUACUCGAGAGGAUAUAAACGUGUCAAAAUCAAUUCUAUGAAUCUCGAAAUGAUUUUGUAUUUUUCAAACGUGGAACCGAAACCAAACAUACACAAAGACAUGUCCGAAACAAAAUAUAUCAACACAAGUACACAACAUCAAUCAAUACACAUGUAUAAAAAUUAAUGGUACAUUAAGCAAAAAAAAGUCAACUUACUUGCAUGUAAAAUCAAUAUAGAUUAUUAUUAAGGAAACAUUACAGAUAUAAUACCAUAUUAAUUAAUGAAUGAGAUGGAAAUAACGUUGCAUGCAUGCAUGCACGUAUAAAGAAAUGAACUCAAAAUGUUUAAGAAAAGGUGGUAUUACCUCGAGAAAGAAGGCUGUGGUGGUUCUCGUUGUUCAUCGCUCAUGAUGGCGAUGGAAAAAGGUAGGAGGAGACACCGAGAACCAAGAAGAACGAGAAUGACGCGCACGGAUAGAGUCAGCAAGAAGAGAGAGAGAGAAAGAGAGAUGGAAGAAAGACAUGAAAAUGAAAGAAAUGGUUGGCAUCAUUUCUCUGUCCCUACGUUCUUCUAACUUCUUACUACACACCCGAUUUUUUAUCCUCAAAUUUCGUUCAACUUUACAGGAAUAUGCUCAUUGAUUUUGUAUAUAUUCCUAUUACAUAUAUUUUCUUAACAAAAAAUAUAUAAAAAGCUUAAUUUUUUUUUCUUUAUAUUUAUGAUACAUAAAUUUAAUUUUUAUGUAUGGACAAGGCUUGUCAACUCACUUGUCCUUAAAUAUAUGGAAUCAUUUCUUGUCAAAAAUUAAAGGAUAAAUUCUUUUCCCUCCCUCCACAUCUGAUUCGAAUAGUAAAAUCCGAAAAAAUAUAGGGUUACGUUGGAGGAUGUUUUCAGUUACACCUUUUAAAUUAUUUAAUCUAAAAUGUUGCAGGACGUGUAAGAAGCUAAUAGGGUGGGAUAAGAAAUUGUCAAAUUAAAGUUGACAUCAUGGUUAUAAGAACUUAGUUUCACGAGACUAAGUUGGUCCAUGAACAUAAUUUUUACGAAGAUAUCACAGUUCAUUUUAGAUCCAGCGAACAGAGAACAGACAAGUAGUCGACGAGGAAUGCAACACAACAUCAUCUAGAGUGCAAUUGUUACGGUAAUCAUAUGGUGUUGGGAUUUCAAAAGGGUUUUUCAAAAUUUUAAUUCUCUUAGCGGAAUAAAUCUUGAUGAACGAAUAUUAAUUAAUUAAAUCAUUAAUCACAAAUCAAAGCAUUUUAAGGAUUCAUAUGUUUAUCUCUUGAAGCACAGAUCCUUUAAAGUCAAACUCUUAGAGUUAGUAAUCACAAGCACUACUCGACGACAACACCUCUACUCAGUCCACACAAACAUAUUCUUCAAUCACGGUCCUACCUGCUUACGGAUGAAGGCUUGGAGAAAGAUGGACAGGUUUUAUAGGGUUUCAGAAAACUAGGGCUUAUGAAUCAUAAAAUUUAGUUAAGUGUAAUCUUGAUUUAGCAUAAGAGUUCUAUUUAAUUUAUAGUACCACUUGUGUGAUAUGCAAGUCUAGCAGACACUAUUGGGCUUAUGUAAGCCUUAUAACUUAUUCGAUGGCUUUGCUAACCAAUUAGCUCAAUAUACUAAUUGCACCCUCAAGUAAUAAGUCUCACUUAUACGUCUCACUUAUGUGUCCUUUUGUGUGUGACCAUGUAGGCUCUUGUAACUUUGACAAUGAUAUUAAAUUUUAUUUUGAACAAUAAUAUUAAAUUUUAUUGUUAAUAUUACAUACAGAGAGCGGUAUCUAGAAACACAUCACGACUACCUAAGUGACAAGAAUGUCAUAUGAUCUGACGAAACUUUUCCGUGAUAUCUUGUGUAUAAUUACUUUUUGGCCCUCAUGUCUAUAUUGAACACAAGACAUAGUGUGUCACCCUUGUCCAGUUCAAUAGUGAGACUUUAGACAUUUCCAUUAUUAUGUAAGAGGGAUAAAUUCCAUCUAGGUCACUCAUGUCCCUCUGCAUGAUUUGUGUAAUACCCAUCAACCGACUUUAUAGUCAUCGUGUCAUAGACAACGUUUAAACAGAAACAAAAGUACUCGACUCCUACAUCUAGGGAACAUAGUGAUUUCAGGCCGAAGGGUGGAAUACACCACUUAUCACUAUGAGAAUAGUUUAUGUCACUUACAUAAUUUUCUAUGUAGCGUUCUUAUGGAGGAUCAAUCCAAUAUAAAUAUUACUCCUGAGAUUUAUACCUAUGUGAAGAUACUUGAUAAAUCUUUAUUUAUAAUCUGUGAGAUAUGAUCAUUAGUCUACCCAUAUAAUAAUCUUUAUGCCUUACUACUAUCUUAUUUCAUAGGAAAACUUUUGACUAGGAAAACUUUAAGAAUAAUGUCUUUUAGUUUAACGAAGUAUCACGAUCAAUUAAGUCACACUUAAUGUUCCAUUAAACGGUUUGAUUCCCAUCUCUGGCAUUUUUAAAAAUCUAUUUAACUAAAAAGUCAGAUUGAAAAUUUUAACAAAAAAAAAAUUAUGGCUUACGAGGCAAGCUUAGUUAAGUAAUUUUUUUUCAUCUGGAAGUAAAUAUAAAUAAUAAUUUUUUAUUAUUAUUAUUAUUUUAGAUUUUGUAUUUAUAUUAAAUCAUUUUUUUAGUUUGGACUUAAACUCUGGUCUUUAUCUGUCACCAAAAAAAAAAAAAAAAAAAAACUCUGGUCUUAUAACUUAUAACUUCUUAGAUUCUUAAAUUAAAUGGUUGAACUACUAAAUAUUUAAAGGUAUUAUUAAAAUGCUAUAAUUUAAACAAGAUGUCGUGUAAAGUCAAGAUUGUUUUAAUCGUAUUCAUAGAGCUUACUUGUUAAAUUUGGUCAAUGAUAGAUUAAUUUAGAGGUGAUUUUAUUUGGUCUAAAUAAAUUUUAUAUGAGCACAACGUUAAAGAAAUAGUUGUGUUCUCUUGUAUUAAUCAUGUCCCUAGGCUUACUUCCUAAAUUUAAAAUAAAAAGAAUAUGAGUUUAUUCACUUAUACAUUGUCUAAUUCUCACGUUUUCAUCCAAUGUGGGAUUCCCUUACUCACAUUUUAAGCACCAACACCAAGUAGUGAAAAUCCCCUAAAAGGACAUUAAAGGUAACCUAAUAUUUAUCAGAAAAAGUAAUUCCCUUAAUUCAAAGAAUAUAUAUUUUUCCACAAAAUGAUAAUUAACAUGUAGUAAUUCGCAGUUGGGAAAAAGAAGCUGAAGUAGAGGAAAUAUCAGGCAUUACAAGCUAGGAAUCAAUUUAUUUAUUAUGUGAUUAAACUUCAUCAAGAAUAAUAAAUUAAUGGACAUUGCGACUAAUCAAUCCUUCAAAUAUAGUAUACAGAUCUUUGUUUUCAGGCCCAAAGAUCUCAUCAGCUUUCUUUAAUGUCUCCUGCAAUUUCACAAACACAAUAGAGGAAGGCAAUUAAGUUAAAUUCAGAUACAAAUGUUACCAUAAAAAAAGGGAAAAGGAGAUGCAUGAGGGUUCACCUCUUUUGUUUGUUUGUGGGAAUUCAGUUCCUUAACAUUUGCUAAAAAUGCACCAAACUGCUCAUAAGACAAACGGCUCCUAAUCAUAACAAACAUGGAUAAAUUAUGAGUGAAGGAUUCAAAAGUUAAGUAUCAAACACAAAAUUAAACAAUUUUGCUACCACUACCAGAUUGAAAUGCUAUACUUCUAAAAUGUCAUUUUAAAUUGUAAAUUGAUUGAAUUACUUGUCAAAGCUGAUAGGUUGAUGAAUAAAACCAUGGAUCUUAAGAAGUUCCUUUCAAGUUGUUUGUAAAUUAAUCUAAUGAAAUUAUGAAGCUAGCGUAGUUGAGUAAGAACUUGAUGCUUUUUGAAAUCUUAGUAUAAGCACUUGUGACUUGUGAGACUGUUUGAUAGAACUUAUGUAAAUAGCUUAUGGCAUGUCCAUAAGUCAUUUUUAGCUUAUUUUCAUAAGCUCUCAAGCAUAGCUUAUGAAAACAACCUAUAGCUUAUAUGAAUAUAAUUUGACCUUAUUUUAUCUUUUGUGUAGAAAUAGGUUAAACAUAAGUACUUAUAUGAUUAAGUUGUUUAUCUAAAUAGGAUCAAAAUACCCUUAAUUACCUGACUUGGCGAAAGAACUCCUUUCCAUCCACCCGAGUUCGUGCUGAGACAAGAAAAAAGAAAAUAUGUGAG
Molecule: long non-coding RNA, 8264 nt
Filed under: Medicago truncatula (barrel medic)
Lineage: Eukaryota; Viridiplantae; Streptophyta; Magnoliopsida; Fabales; Fabaceae
Description: long non-coding RNA (MTRU_LNC008092)
Source: RNAcentral